RNAcentral lists this small RNA (588 nucleotides) under Oryza sativa Japonica Group (Japanese rice). RNAcentral describes it as "sRNA Os06g0165100". Lineage: Eukaryota; Viridiplantae; Streptophyta; Magnoliopsida; Poales; Poaceae. The record is from RNAcentral.
ACUGCCGCCGCAACGAGAGCACCGUCAACCACAGCAGCAGCUCAUGGCGCCGCCGCUCCCGGGGCCGGUGGUGCCCGGGGGUCGCCGGAGGCGGAGCCGAACGCCCGCGCGCAAGGCUAUGUGCCGCGACGGCCGGUGAGCGCGCUGCCCGUAUCUUGCUGCCCGGUGGGGGCGGCACGGCUCGGCGUGGAGAGCCCUUUGCAAUGGUGAUGCCGGAGCGGAAGGAUUAUUCGAGAUUGAUGCGUGGGCAUUGGCUGGCGUCGCCGCGCGCAUAAUAAAUGGUGUGUGAUUGAUUCCUAAACUAUUGCUGUCAGUUUUUUUAGUUCAUUUGGAUCAUACAGCUUGCAUGAUACUGAAUAGUUGGCGGCUCCAGUUUAAUUGUUUUAUUUGUCCCUGCUCCAUAAAUCUAGUCUAGGUAGUAAUAGUGAAAAAGGAAUUAGAAUUUCAUUUCCCACGUCUUGGUAGUCUUGACAGCUACUACGACAUGUUUGUCUACUUUGUUAGACUUAGACGCACUCAUCUGUCGAAUAAUGUAAUGGUAUACACUGAAUAUUUAGUGGAAAUCGAUGCAUCUCAUACAUAUAGAUC